AGGAGGGACUGGCACUAGUAACAGCAAAACAUGGAAAAAGCGCUCGAACUUUGAAAAUGUUCAAUCUCUUUGNCCAAAAAUGACUUGAUUUACAAAUAAUCGAUUGAAUACUAAAGGAAAAGGAUGUCUCGAAGUAAUUCCAACUCAAGGAGCUACCGCUCUGGUCGUUCACGUGGAGAANAUAGUAUUUUAUCAAGCGAUAACGAUACAGANUUGAACAACACUUCUUUGGAUGUGGAUUCUUCUUCGACCUUUCUUAUGUCAUCUGCUUUGUCAACGACAAACGUUGAAAGUGACUCAGAAAAUCGAGUUACAAAAGCUAUGAUAGAAAAGAAACAACUUCUGCAUGAUAUAGAAUUACUACGAAUUGAAUUAAGUCAAAAAAACCUGAUGAUUGAUAAUUUGAAAGUUGAGCAUAUGAACANGGUUGAUGAGCUCGAAGAAAAAGUCUCUGAAAAUCGACACGGGAAGCUGAUUUUGCAAGCAAGACUUGAAUCACAGCUUAAACUACAGCAAGAAGAAUCUCAAUCAAGGCUAGAUAGGAUGAGACAAGAAUUGAAUAGUAUCAUGAACAGACAACAACAACUUGAGGAGGAAAAUGAACGAUUACAAGGCAGAGCUGGGGACUUGAGACAAGAUUUAGUUGAUGUUCAGAUUUUAACUGAAGAACAAUACUUAGAACUCAAGACUGCAAAUCCUGACCAAAUGAGCUUAAAAGACUUUGUAUCAGUCAAGAUCUAUNAGGCAGCCCAUCCAUACAAGGUUGAAGUAGAAAGUCUUCUUCAGCAAGUUGACUUGUUGACAAGGCAGCUUUUAAGUAAAGAAGAAGAUGCAGCUUUGUACCAAAAGCAAGCAGAAGAAGAGAGAUUUUCACGCUCUGAGUUGGAGUACAGAGCACAGAGGCUGGCUUUACAAGUUGAAGAUCUAAAGUCCAAGCUACAACANGGAGACUACAAGAAAUCAAAUUUUGACAAUGUUAGAGGUGAGAGAGAUUCUUUGGACAGAGAGGUUAUGGAGUUGAAAAAGUCCAAUACAGUGCUAGAAGCUAGUCUCAAGGCUAAGGUGGAUGAGCUGCAAGAGUAUCAGAAAGAGAUGCAGACUACAAAACAGUCACUUGCCCUUCUGAAACAAGACAAAGAGUAUCUGAACAAACAAGUCCAGGAGCUGAGUACCCGAAGUAGCUUGGCUGAAGAACAUUUACAGCAAGUAACCAAGCAGCUGAAUACUACCAAACAGGCCAGGGAAGAGCUGUAUGAAAAGUAUAUCAGCACCAGAGAGCAAUACAAAUCUGAAUAUGAAAUGAAACUAAAAGAAGAACUGGACAACAUUGGGCUCAAAACAAACUCAGAAUUGGAUAAAAUCAGGAAUGAUACAAAAGAUAUGUAUGAACGAGAGAACAAGAGUCUCAGAGAAGCUAGAGACAAUGCUCUACAUGAGAAGGAACGGGCAAGAAACGCAGAGAAAGAAGUCACAUCAAAAUAUGACCAGCUAUUAUCAGAGUUCCGUCAGCUGCAGGUUAGCUCUGACAGUAAGCAUUCUGAGUUACAGAAUGAACUGAAACUCAAGCAGUUUGAGAUAGACAGAUUACAGAUUCUCUAUGAUGAGACAUCACAGAGUUUUAAGCAACUAAAACUGGAUUAUGAGAAAUGCAGCAAAAAGAAUGAGGUUCUGAUUCAGGAGUUUUAUUCCUUGCAACACAAGACUGACAAGCACAUUUCAUCCCUUGAGUCUGAAACUAAAGAAAAGACAGAAAAACUCAAGUUGUAUGAAAACAUGGAGCAGGAACUUGAUGAUGUUAUCAUGCAAUCUGCAGAAAUUGAGAGUGAAGUUGAUGCAGAAAGGUUCCUAUGUUCCUAUGGAUACGGUGCUAAUGUUCCAAGCACAGCAAAAAGACGGAUGCAACAAAGUGUCCAUCUUGCAAGGAGAGUACUUCAGUUAGAAAGAGCCAACACUUCACUAAGAAAUGAGAUGGAAAGAGAGAAAGCAAAACGAGACAAACUUGAAGAAGAGCUUACUGGUGCGACAAGUCUGUUGAAUGAGGCCAAGCAGCCUUACAAGUACUUGAUAGAAAGCAUGCAAACACGAGAUAGUGAGAACCAAUCACUUAAAGAACAAUUGUCUGGAUUGAAGGAGGAGCUAAAGUAUGAAAACUCAAGCAACAGAAGGAAGAGUUGAUNAAGACAAAAAACUUAAUGACUGCUGAUUUAGAGAGGCUACUCAACCAGAGAGAGGAAAUUUCCCUUUUGAAGCAAACACUGCUUGGCUUAGAACCAUCAUCAAAGCAACAUGAUAUCCAUCAUAGAACUCAGCAAAGAGGCAAAGCUGCUAAGAUGUCA
Molecule: unclassified non-coding RNA, 2336 nt
Filed under: Exaiptasia diaphana
Lineage: Eukaryota; Metazoa; Cnidaria; Anthozoa; Actiniaria; Aiptasiidae
Description: progesterone-induced-blocking factor 1-like, transcript variant X2
Source: RNAcentral